RNAcentral lists this ribosomal RNA (261 nucleotides) under uncultured archaeon. RNAcentral describes it as "partial 16S ribosomal RNA". It matches the Rfam family "Archaeal small subunit ribosomal RNA", at positions 748 to 1009 of the family's 1478-position model. The record is from RNAcentral.
CAGCCGUAAACGAUGCGCGUUAGGUGUAUCGACGACCACGAGUCGUCGAGGUGCCGAAGGGAAACCGUGAAACGUGCCGCCUGGGAAGUACGGUCGCAAGGCUGAAACUUAAAGGAAUUGGCGGGGGAGCACCACAACAGGUGGAGCCUGCGGUUUAAUUGGACUCAACGCCGGAAAUCUCACCGGAUAAGCCAGCAGAAUGAUUGCCGGGCUGAAGACUCUGCAUGACUAGCUGAGAGGAGGUGCAUGGCGUAGACGUCU